This 77-nucleotide transfer RNA is filed under the name Actinomycetes bacterium. RNAcentral's name for it is "Actinobacteria bacterium tRNA-Arg". It matches the Rfam family "tRNA". Rfam says of the family: Transfer RNA (tRNA) molecules are approximately 80 nucleotides in length. Their secondary structure includes four short double-helical elements and three loops (D, anti-codon, and T loops). Further hydrogen bonds mediate the characteristic L-shaped molecular structure. tRNAs have two regions of fundamental functional importance: the anti-codon, which is responsible for specific mRNA codon recognition, and the 3' end, to which the tRNAs corresponding amino acid is attached (by aminoacyl-tRNA synthetases). tRNAs cope with the degeneracy of the genetic code in two manners: having more than one tRNA (with a specific anti-codon) for a particular amino acid; and 'wobble' base-pairing, i.e. permitting non-standard base-pairing at the 3rd anti-codon position. The record is from RNAcentral. RNAcentral also lists the same sequence under 3 other names. Lineage: Bacteria; Bacillati; Actinomycetota; Actinomycetes.
GCGCCUGUAGCUCAGCUGGAUAGAGCGACGGACUUCGAAUCCGCAGGUCGGGGGUUCGAAUCCCUCCAGGCGUGCCA